RNAcentral lists this ribosomal RNA (367 nucleotides) under uncultured bacterium. RNAcentral describes it as "bacterial SSU rRNA". It matches the Rfam family "Bacterial small subunit ribosomal RNA", at positions 527 to 896 of the family's 1533-position model. The record is from RNAcentral.
GGAGGAUGCGAGCGUUAUCCGGAUUUAUUGGGUUUAAAGGGUGCGUAGGCGGACCAAUAAGUCAGUGGUGAAAACCUGCAGCUUAACUGUAGACUUGCCGUUGAUACUGUUGGUCUUGAGUAUGGUCAAGGUAGGCGGAAUGUGUAAUGUAGCGGUGAAAUGCUUAGAUAUUACACAGAACACCGAUUGCGAAGGCAGCUUGCUGGGCCAUUACUGACGCUGAUGCACGAAAGCGUGGGGAUCGAACAGGAUUAGAUACCCUGGUAGUCCACGCCGUAAACGAUGAUCACUCGCUGUUGGCGAUACACAGUCAGCGGCUAAGCAAAAGCAUUAAGUGAUCCACCUGGGGAGUACGGCCGCAAGGCUG